UACGCUAGGUGGGAAGGCGCAACCUAUUACAAAAUCACGAACCUAGUCGUAGAUAAAGAAUUAUACACUAAUAUAGAUAACUAAACCCUAAUAUUGAAAUGUGAACCUACUCCCUGUACGUUGUACCGUUGGGUUGGUUAAUCAGGACGACGCUGAGUAGUAUGGAUUACUUAAAUGCUUUGCUAAUUUUGUACAUCCAAUUAAAACACUGGUAAUGCUAAAAGGAAACCCCAUAUAGUGAAACUAAACCCUACAAUUCUAGUUAAAUCAUAAACCAAAGAGAAAUUAUUAAUACACAUCCCAGCUGGUGAAGCCCGCAAGUAUGACAUAUAUAGUAUGGAUGUUGUAAAGGGUUGAAAUAUGUUGGGUUCAUAUGGAUAAUUAAACCCUAAUAUGGAAAACUAAACCCUAAUAUGGAUAACUAAACCCUAAUAUGGAUAUGUGAACCCACAUACACCACAUAAUAAAUAUGAAAAUAAUUAACCCACAUCGUAGAAGAAAAACAAGUGUCCCU
Molecule: long non-coding RNA, 514 nt
Filed under: Brassica napus (rape)
Lineage: Eukaryota; Viridiplantae; Streptophyta; Magnoliopsida; Brassicales; Brassicaceae
Description: long non-coding RNA (BNAP_LNC023027)
Source: RNAcentral